GGUGGCUUAGCGGUUUGAGCGUCUACCUUAUAUGCGGGAGAUCGCGGAUUCGAGCUCCGAGCCAUACCA
Molecule: non-coding RNA, 69 nt
Organism: Potamilus streckersoni
Lineage: Eukaryota; Metazoa; Mollusca; Bivalvia; Unionida; Unionidae
Source: the annotation of a GenBank genome assembly